Molecule: ribosomal RNA, 371 nt
Filed under: uncultured bacterium
Lineage: Bacteria
Description: bacterial SSU rRNA
Rfam family: Bacterial small subunit ribosomal RNA
Source: RNAcentral
GGAGGGCGCAAGCGUUGUUCGGAAUCACUGGGCGUAAAGCGCGUGCAGGCGGCUUGGUAAGUCGGGUGUGAAAUCCCGGAGCUCAACUCCGGAACUGCACCCGAUACUGCCUCGCUAGAGUCUCGGAGAGGAUGGCGGAAUUUCCGGUGUAGAGGUGAAAUUCGUAGAUAUCGGAAGGAACACCAGCGGCGAAGGCGGCCAUCUGGACGAUGACUGACGCUCAGACGCGAAAGCGUGGGGAGCAAACAGGAUUAGAUACCCUGGUAGUCCACGCUGUAAACGUUGGGUGCUAGGCGUCGUGGGUAUUGACCCCCGCGGUGCCGAAGCUAACGCAUUAAGCACCCCGCCUGGGGAGUACGGUCGCAAGACUA